AGUCGACGGUUAAGCAUCUUCGGAUGUGUAUAAAGUGGCGAACGGCUGAGUAACACGUGGGCAACCUGCCCUUUGCACUGGGAUAGCCUCGGGAAACCGAGGUUAAUACCGGAUACUCCAUAUUUGUCGCAUGGCGAAUAUGGGAAAGCUCCGGCGGCAAAGGAUGGGCCCGCGGCCUGUUAGCUAGUUGGUGGGGUAGUGGCCUACCAAGGCAAUGAUGGGUAGCCGGGUUGAGAGACCGACCGGCCAGAUUGGGACUGAGACACGGCCCAGACUCCUACGGGAGGCAGCAGUGGGGAAUCUUGCACAAUGGGCGAAAGCCUGAUGCAGCGACGCCGCGUGCGGGAUGAAGGCCUUCGGGUUGUAAACCGCUUUCAGCAGGGACGAGGCCGCAAGGUGACGGUACCUGCAGAAGAAGCCCCGGCUAACUACGUGCCAGCAGCCGCGGUAAUACGUAGGGGGCAAGCGUUAUCCGGAUUCAUUGGGCGUAAAGCGCGCGUAGGCGGUCUGUUAGGUCAGGAGUUAAAUCUGGGGGCUCAACCCCUAUCCGCUCCUGAUACCGGCAGGCUUGAGUCUGGUAGGGGAAGAUGGAAUCCCAAGUGUAGCGGUGAAAUGCGCAGAUAUUUGGAAGAACACCGGUGGCGAAGGCGGUCUUCUGGGCCAUGACUGACGCUGAGGCGCGAAAGCUAGGGGAGCGAACAGGAUUAGAUACCCUGGUAGUCCUAGCUGUAAACGAUGGACACUAGGUGUGGGGAGAUUAUACUUUCCGUGCCGCAGCUAACGCAUUAAGUGUCCCGCCUGGGGAGUACGGUCGCAAGAC
This 820-nucleotide ribosomal RNA is filed under the name uncultured bacterium. Its description in RNAcentral is "bacterial SSU rRNA". It matches the Rfam family "Bacterial small subunit ribosomal RNA", at positions 60 to 894 of the family's 1533-position model. The record is from RNAcentral.